UCGGUUGAGGGCACGUCUGCUUGGGCGUCACGC
RNAcentral lists this ribosomal RNA (33 nucleotides) under Pentaclethra macroloba. RNAcentral describes it as "partial 5.8S ribosomal RNA". The record is from RNAcentral. Lineage: Eukaryota; Viridiplantae; Streptophyta; Magnoliopsida; Fabales; Fabaceae.